ACGAACGCUGGCGGCGUGCUUAACACAUGCAAGUCGAACGGAAAGGCCCUGCUUUUGUGGGGUGCUCGAGUGGCGAACGGGUGAGUAACACGUGAGUAACCUGCCCUUGACUUUGGGAUAACUUCAGGAAACUGGGGCUAAUACCGGAUAGGAGCUCCUGCUGCAUGGUGGGGGUUGGAAAGUUUCGGCGGUUGGGGAUGGACUCGCGGCUUAUCAGCUUGUUGGUGGGGUAGUGGCUUGCCAAGGCUUUGACGGGUAGCCGGCCUGAGAGGGUGACCGGCCACAUUGGGACUGAGAUACGGCCCAGACUCCUACGGGAGGCAGCAGUGGGGAAUAUUGCACAAUGGGCGGAAGCCUGAUGCAGCAACGCCGCGUGCGGGAUGACGGCCUUCGGGUUGUAAACCGCUUUCGCCUGUGACGAAGCGUGAGUGACGGUAAUGGGUAAAGAAGCACCGGCUAACUACGUG
RNAcentral lists this ribosomal RNA (467 nucleotides) under uncultured bacterium. Its description in RNAcentral is "partial 16S ribosomal RNA". It matches the Rfam family "Bacterial small subunit ribosomal RNA", at positions 29 to 507 of the family's 1533-position model. The record is from RNAcentral.